AGUGACGAUAGCCUAGGAGAUACACCUGUACCCAUGCCGAACACAGAAGUUAAGCCCUAGAACGCCGGAAGUAGUUGGGGGU
RNAcentral lists this ribosomal RNA (82 nucleotides) under Streptococcus pneumoniae SPAR95. Lineage: Bacteria; Bacillati; Bacillota; Bacilli; Lactobacillales; Streptococcaceae. The record is from RNAcentral.